GUUUGAUCCUGGCUCAGGAUGAACGCUGGCGAGAUGCUUUACACAUGCAAGUCGUACGAGAGUUUUCAACUCAAGUGGCGGACGGGUGAGUAACACGUAAGAAUUUGCCUUUAGGAGGGGGACAACAGUUGGAAACGACUGCUAAUACCCCAUAUGCUUUCGAGUGAAAUGGAUUUUUCCGCCUAGAGAGAAGCUUGCGGCUGAUUAGCUUGUUGGUGAGGUAAUGGCUCACCAAGGCGACGAUCAGUAUCUGGUUUGAGAGGACGAUCAGACACACUGGAACUGAGACACGGUCCAGACUCCUACGGGAGGCAGCAGUGGGGAAUUUUCCGCAAUGGGCGAAAGCCUGACGGAGCAAUCUCGCGUGAGGGAUGACGGCCUAUGGGUUGUAAACCUCUUUUUUCAGGGAGGAAUCAAUGACGUUACCUGAAGAAUAAGCAUCGGCUAACUCCGUGCCAGCAGCCGCGGUAAGACGGGGGAUGCAAGUGUUAUCCGGAAUCACUGGGCGUAAAGCGUCUGUAGGUGGUUUAAUAAGUCAAANAGGNAAAUCUUGAGGCUCAACCUCAAAACCCGCAGUCGAAACUAUUAGACUAGAGU
Molecule: ribosomal RNA, 597 nt
Filed under: uncultured bacterium
Lineage: Bacteria
Description: bacterial SSU rRNA
Rfam family: Bacterial small subunit ribosomal RNA
Source: RNAcentral